GCCCGGCUAGCUCAAUCGGUAGAGCGUGUGACUCUUACUCGUCGAGAGACGUGCCAGUUCCUAUCACAAGGUUGGGGGUUCGACCCCCCCCGUUGGGCU
Molecule: non-coding RNA, 99 nt
Organism: Ciborinia camelliae
Lineage: Eukaryota; Fungi; Ascomycota; Leotiomycetes; Helotiales; Sclerotiniaceae
Source: the annotation of a GenBank genome assembly